GAGUUUGAUCGUGGCUCAGAUUGAACGCUGGCGGCAUGCCUUACACAUGCAAGUCGAACGGCAGCACGGGAGCUUGCUCCUGGUGGCGAGUGGCGAACGGGUGAGUAAUGCAUCGGAACGUAUCCUGGAGUGGGGGAUAACGUAGCGAAAGUUACGCUAAUACCGCAUAUUCUGUGAGCAGGAAAGCGGGGGACCUUCGGGCCUCGCGCUCUUGGAGCGGCCGAUGUCGGAUUAGCUAGUUGGUGAGGUAAAGGCUCACCAAGGCGACGAUCCGUAGCAGGUCUGAGAGGAUGAUCUGCCACACUGGAACUGAGACACGGUCCAGACUCCUACGGGAGGCAGCAGUGGGGAAUUUUGGACAAUGGGGGCAACCCUGAUCCAGCCAUGCCGCGUGGGUGAAGAAGGCCUCGGUU
Molecule: ribosomal RNA, 413 nt
Filed under: bacterium enrichment culture clone ALO1_GLFRUDD03F30YU
Lineage: Bacteria
Description: bacterial SSU rRNA
Rfam family: Bacterial small subunit ribosomal RNA
Source: RNAcentral